GACGAACGCUGGCGGCGUGCUUAACACAUGCAAGUCGAACGGAAAGGCCCUGCUUUUGUGGGGUGCUCGAGUGGCGAACGGGUGCGUAACACGUAAGUAACCUGCCCUUGACUUUGGGAUAACUUCAGGAAACUGGGGCUAAUACAGGAUAGGAGAUCCUGCUGCAUGGUGGGGGUUGGAAAGUUUCGGCUGUUGGGGAUGGACUCGCGGCUUAUCAGCUUGUUGGUGGGGUAGUGGAUUACCAAGGCUUUGACGGGUAGCCGGCCUGAGAGGGUGACCGGCGACAUUGGGACUGCGAGACGGCGCAGACGCGAACGGGAGGCAGCAGUGGGGAAUAUUGCACAAUGGGCGCGAGCCGGAUGCAGCAACGCCGCGGUCGGGAUGACGGCCUUCGGGUAGUAAACCGCUUUCGCCUGUGACGAAGCGUGAGUGACGGUAAUGGGUAAAGAAGCACCGGCUAACUACGUG
This 468-nucleotide ribosomal RNA is filed under the name uncultured bacterium. RNAcentral's name for it is "partial 16S ribosomal RNA". It matches the Rfam family "Bacterial small subunit ribosomal RNA", at positions 28 to 507 of the family's 1533-position model. The record is from RNAcentral.